ACGAACGCUGGCGGCGUGCCUAAUACAUGCAAGUCGAACGAGCUCUCCCAAAUUGAUUUUAUGCUUGCAUAAAUGAUUUUUGGAUUCGGAGCGAGUGGCGAACUGGUGAGUAACACGUGGGUAACCUGCCCCGAAGCGGGGGAUAACAUUUGGAAACAAGUGCUAAUACCGCAUAAUUAGUUGGAACCGCAUGGUUCCAACUUGAAAGAUGGCUCUGCUAUCACUUUGGGAUGGACCCGCGCCGUAUUAGUUAGUUGGUGAGAUAAAAGCCCACCAAGACGAUGAUACGUAGCCGACCUGAGAGGGUAAUCGGCCACAUUGGGACUGAGACACGGCCCAGACUCCUACGGGAGGCAGCAGUAGGGAAUCUUCCACAAUGGACGAAAGUCUGAUGGAGCAACGCCGCGUGAGUGAUGAAGGUUUUCGGAUCGUAAAACUCUGUUGUUAAAGAAGAACAAGUGUUAGAGUAACUGUUAACACUUUGACGGUAUUUAACCAGAAAGCCACGGCUAACUACGUGCCAGCAGCCGCGGUAAUACGUAGGUGGCAAGCGUUGUCCGGAUUUAUUGGGCGUAAAGCGAGCGCAGGCGGUUUUGUAAGUCUGCUGUGAAAGCCCUCAGCUCAACUGAGGAAGUGCAGUGGAAACUACAAAACUUGAGUACAGAAGAGGAAAGUGGAACUCCAUGUGUAGCGGUGAAAUGCGUAGAUAUAUGGGAAGAACACCAGUGGCGAAGGCGGCUUUCUGGUCUGUUACUGACGCUGAGGCUCGAAAGCAUGGGUAGCGAACAGGAUUAGAUACCCUGGUAGUCCAUGCCGUAAACGAUGAAUACUAGGUGUUGGAGGGUUUCCGCCCUUCAGUGCCGCAGCUAACGCAUUAAGUAUUCCGCCUGGGGAGUACGACCGCAAGGUUGAAACUCAAAGGAAUUGACGGGGGCCCGCACAAGUGGUGGAGCAUGUGGUUUAAUUCGAUGCUACGCGAAGAACCUUACCAGCUCUUGACAUCUUCUGCCAACCCAAGAGAUUGGGCGUUCCCUUCGGGGACAGAAUGACAGGUGGUGCAUGGUUGUCGUCAGCUCGUGUCGUGAGAUGUUGGGUUAAGUCCCGCAACGAGCGCAACCCUUAUUAUUAGUUGCCAGCAUUUAGUUGGGCACUCUAGUGAGACUGCCGGUGAUAAACCGGAGGAAGGUGGGGACGACGUCAAAUCAUCAUGCCCCUUAUGAGCUGGGCUACACACGUGCUACAAUGGAUGGUACAACGAGUCGCGAAACCGCGAGGUCAAGCUAAUCUCUUAAAGCCAUUCUCAGUUCGGAUUGCAGGCUGCAACUCGCCUGCAUGAAGUUGGAAUCACUAGUAAUCGUGGAUCAGCAUGCCACGGUGAAUACGUUCCCGGGCCUUGUACACACCGCCCGUCA
This 1412-nucleotide ribosomal RNA is filed under the name uncultured Bacilli bacterium. Its description in RNAcentral is "bacterial SSU rRNA". It matches the Rfam family "Bacterial small subunit ribosomal RNA", at positions 29 to 1399 of the family's 1533-position model. Lineage: Bacteria; Bacillati; Bacillota; Bacilli. The record is from RNAcentral.